RNAcentral lists this ribosomal RNA (478 nucleotides) under uncultured bacterium. RNAcentral describes it as "partial 16S ribosomal RNA". It matches the Rfam family "Bacterial small subunit ribosomal RNA", at positions 28 to 507 of the family's 1533-position model. The record is from RNAcentral.
GAUGAACGCUGGCGGCGUGCUUAACACAUGCAAGUCGAACGGGAAAUAUUUCAUUGAGACUUCGGUGGAUUUGAUUUAUUUCUAGUGGCGGACGGGUGAGUAACGCGUGGGUAACCUGCCUUAUACAGGGGGAUAACAGUCAGAAAUGGCUGCUAAUACCGCAUAAGCGCACAGAGCUGCAUGGCUCAGUGUGAAAAACUCCGGUGGUAUAAGAUGGACCCGCGUUGGAUUAGCUAGUUGGUGGGGUAACGGCCCACCAAGGCGACGAUCCAUAGCCGGCCUGAGAGGGUGAACGGCCACAUUGGGACUGAGCCACGGCCCAGACUCCUACGGGAGGCAGCAGUGGGGAAUAUUGCACAAUGGGGGAAACCCUGAUGCAGCGACGCCGCGUGAAGGAAGAAGUAUCUCGGUAUGUAAACUUCUAUCAGCAGGGAAGAUAGUGACGGUACCUGACGAAGAAGCCCCGGCUAACUACGUG